UACGUAGGGGGCAAGCGUUGUCCGGAAUCAUUGGGCGUAAAGAGCGUGUAGGCGGCCCGGUAAGUCCGCUGUGAAAGUCCAGGGCUCAACCCUGGGAUGCCGGUGGAUACUGUCGGGCUCGAGUCCGGAAGAGGAGAGUGGAAUUCCUGGUGUAGCGGUGAAAUGCGCAGAUAUCAGGAAGAACACCAAUGGCGAAAGCAGCUCUCUGGGACGGUACUGACGCUGAGACGCGAAAGCGUGGGGAGCGAACAGG
This 253-nucleotide ribosomal RNA is filed under the name uncultured bacterium. RNAcentral's name for it is "partial 16S ribosomal RNA". It matches the Rfam family "Bacterial small subunit ribosomal RNA", at positions 524 to 776 of the family's 1533-position model. The record is from RNAcentral.